Molecule: long non-coding RNA, 1482 nt
Filed under: Junco hyemalis (dark-eyed junco)
Lineage: Eukaryota; Metazoa; Chordata; Aves; Passeriformes; Passerellidae
Description: lncRNA (ENSJHYG00000000212.1)
Source: RNAcentral
ACCUGGGCACACCUGGGAACAUCUGAAUACCCCUGGGCACACCUGGGUGGGAACACCUGGGCACACCUGGGUGGCCCUGUUGGGAAAGGUCCGGCACAGCCACGGUGUUUGUCCCCAAAUCCCCAGGUGGCUCCUGUCACUGUCACCGCCUGCCCGCUUACUGAGCUUUGGUUUUUUGGGUGCCACACAAUGAGGAAUGUGUCAGGAUUACAUUAUUUAGUCAGGAUGUUCCUUGCUGUGAGAUUUUUGUAGAUUUUCCAGGACAAUCACCAAAAACGAGAGACCUAAUCAGGGGAACAGAGCAGCAAAGGACACCCUGGAACUGACAAGUUUUAGGGAUGCAAUAAAUCAAUAUGCUGAUGUGUGUCUGUGUUGCUAACCUCUGUCCUAUACCUGAGGUUUGUAUAUCCUAGAGCUGAACUAUCUUGGUUAUAACACCAAAAAUCACACAUACAGGCCAAAAAGAGCCUGGCCAGGUGAAGAGCCUGCCCUGAGCAGGGGUAGAAGUUGGCUGGGUGACAUAAUUUGUAUGGGAAUUAAUAACCCAUUGUAAGAGAGGGGCUAGACUUGGAGAGUUACUAACUCUGAAUUCUGUGCACAAAAAAUGCUGGUCAAAGUCCAGUGGAUGUGCUGGAUUUGUGGGACACCACCAAGCCCCCACCCAGGCUUGGGCUCUUCUGAAGGUAUUUCAGUCUCCCGGAAGUAUUUCAUUAUUGGUUUGUUGCACACAGGGUAACAAAUCUGAUUUUGGGGACAAACAGUGCAAAUGUGCUCAUCUGAGGUGUCAGGGCUCCCCAGGUCACAGCCCACUCCACACCAGCACAGCUCUCAGCAAGGUGCCUUUAUUUACAACACAGGUGAGUGCAAAUGAAAACAGCCAGGGAAGAGCCAGGAAAUGCUGGCACUUCACAGCUUAUAAAGCCAUAAAGACACUCUACAAACAAAGAGGCCAGUGCUGUGAUUUGGGGCUGGGUAAAUACUGUAACAGCAUCCCUUUGGGGCUGGUCAGACCCCUUAGAACCGUGUGGGUUCCAGUUUUGGGGAGCAGGGGGGAGCACUGGGAUAGUGAGAAGAUGAAGGAAAAGUUCUUUGUUCAUGGGGCAGGAUCCUCCUGCUCUGCUUCACUGAAGGGAACUCACAGCUCAUGCAAAGUCACCCUCUUUCCAUGCAAGACUUUCAGGUUGAGCAGAGCCCCACACGGGCAGCGUGGGGCGUCUGUAAUCCACUUUUGUUCUAACACCCCAAAUUACAAGCUUUCACCAGCUGCUUUGGAAGCACCUGAGAAGAAAGAUGGUAAGAAAAGCAAACAUCCAUUACUCAGGGUUAUUGUCAAAAGGCAAAAUAAUAGAGGCAACUGCUGACCUCAGAAUCUGUGGGUAAAAUUUGUGCUGACACAUUUAAGCAAAAACAAUGAAUGUGGAAACAGUGCCAGACUUCCUGAUGCAAUUUUAAAACAAUAAAGGUUAAAGUAAUCAAAAAGCA